RNAcentral lists this ribosomal RNA (465 nucleotides) under uncultured bacterium. RNAcentral describes it as "bacterial SSU rRNA". It matches the Rfam family "Bacterial small subunit ribosomal RNA", at positions 926 to 1391 of the family's 1533-position model. The record is from RNAcentral.
CACCCGGUGGAGCAUGUGGUUUAUUUUUUUGCACCACGAAAAACCUUACCUGGUCUUGACUUCUGCUGAAGUUUUCAUAGAUGAGAAUGUGCCUUCGGGAACCGUGAAACAGGUGCUGCGUGGCUGUCGUCAUCUCGUGUUGUGAAAUGUUGGGUUAAGUCCCGCAACGAGCGCAACCCUUAUCCUUUUUUUCCUUUGUUCCCGCCGGGAACUCAAAGGACACUGCCAGUGAUAAACUGGAGGAAGGUGGGGAUGACGUAAAAUCAUCAUGCCCCUUCCUACCCGGGCUACACACGUGCUACAAUGGCGCAUACAAGGAGAAGCGACCUCGCAAGAGCAAGCGGACCUCAUAAAGUGCGUCCUAGUCCGGAUUGGAGUCUGCAACUCAACUCCCUGAUGUCGGAAUCGCUAUUACACUCGCAUCAGAUCGCCACGGUGAAUUCGUUCGUGGGCCUUGUCCCCACC